Molecule: long non-coding RNA, 1623 nt
Filed under: Drosophila guanche
Lineage: Eukaryota; Metazoa; Arthropoda; Insecta; Diptera; Drosophilidae
Source: RNAcentral
GCUCAAUUCAUUCAUUCGUCUAAGCCAUGUGUAACAUAUUGUACAUAGUCUUUGUGCUCGCUUCUUUGGUUAAUAUUUCUUUUUGUCUAAAAGAAAACUUCGAUAACGACUUUAAAAAUGCAAAUAUAAUGGAGUAUGGUGCGUAGAUUAACUUCAAACUAUUUAAAAAAAAAGGUUGAUAAUAAAAAACUCAAUUAAUAAUUUCAUUGAAUAUACAAAAUAAAAAUAUAAAAGUUUUACAAAUACAUCCGAAAGUAAAUCUGCAAUAAAAGAAACUAGUGUUAAAUGUACGAUGAAGAUUACAUAAAUUUUAAAGCAUUGCUUUUUGUUAUAAAGUGUACUUUUAUUUCAUUUACAAAUUUUUAUAGUCAUACAUUGACUUAGAUGAGAUUGGUUCAAAUUGUUCAAUGACACGUGGCACAUUGAGUGUCUAUACGCUUAUGGAAACUUUUUUAGUCGACCUUCCUUCAUAUUUCUCAUCUUACUGAGCCUUAGAUCAGAAUGUAUAUUACAUAUUUCACAAAAUAAUAGGUAACGACAAUAUAAAUAAUUUAAACAUUCUCGGCUCGUGGAAAGGACAAAGGAUAGAAUGUGCCACUUAGUGUAAUACAUUGUGGCCUUAACCACAAAAAUCUUCUGGCUCGAUCCGUUGAGCGCCUUACAUUCAUUAGCGUGUUAUCAAAAGGUUUUGUUCCUGUUGUUCUUUGCUGUUCUUUACUAAUAAUUUUCUUCCAAUAUUAACGUUUAAGGGCAAUGCUGCUGAUAUUAACUGUUUUUAAUAGUUUUAUUAAAAGAAUACUCAUAAAGUCGCAGUCACAAGGAAUAUUUCAAUUUUCAACUAAAUUAAAUAGCUCAGUUUCAAUAAAUCAAGAAAUCUUGAACGAAACAGAAUUAAUGGAUACGUGUUUUUACUAAAAAAUUGUUACCUCUUUUAAAUAUCACUGAGAGAACGAUUAGUUAUGAUAUACCUUUACUGAAUGGAAUGAAAUGGGUUAUUCAAAAUGAAGGUUUGCAUUACAUAUUAAAGAUAAACUGUGCGGUUACACAUGAGCUAUGGAUGCUUUAAAUAAUUUAAAAGUUAUUUUUCUUAGAUAACAACGAAGGAGGAUAUCAAUAUAUUCCACCGCCGAACAACCACUAUUUACCACCGGCUACGUCACCACCUGCUCCGGAGUAUGGGCAUGAGCCUUCAGGUUUUCAUCCGUGGUACGGGUCUAGACCGCACUACUAUAAGCCACAAGGUCCAAUUCCAUACCAUUCGCAUAGCUCUUGGCUUUUGGAACAACUAAAGUCCAAAAUAAACCUUUAUACGCUCGGCAAAAUAUUAUUAAAGAUUUUGAUUCUUAAAAAAACUAUUAAAUUUAUUGUACUAAUUUUUUUGCUUUUGGUUUUACCAAAGCUAAAGAAUAUUUUUAAAGAUGAAAUGGCUGCCGAAAGUGAGGGAACGGAAAGAAAAUUUCUGCAAACAGACAAAGGUAAGGAAUUCUAUAUGAAUAAAGUCAUUACAACUCAAAAAUAUAUUUUUCAGAUAACUUAGAACAACGAAUUGAAAAUCUAAGUGAAUUUAUCAUUAAUUCUCUACGUAAUUUUGAUCAAAGAAAUAUUUAGGUCCUACAAUACCAG